RNAcentral lists this ribosomal RNA (589 nucleotides) under uncultured bacterium. Its description in RNAcentral is "bacterial SSU rRNA". It matches the Rfam family "Bacterial small subunit ribosomal RNA", at positions 83 to 668 of the family's 1533-position model. The record is from RNAcentral.
UUUUCGGACCUAGCGGCGGACGGGUGAGUAAUGCGUAGGAAGCUACCCGAUAGAGGGGGAUACCAGUUGGAAACGACUGUUAAUACCGCAUAAUGUCUACGGACCAAAGUGUGGGACCUUCGGGCCACAUGCUAUCGGAUGCGCCUACGUGGGAUUAGCUAGUUGGUGGGGUAAUGGCUCACCAAGGCGACGAUCCCUAGCUGGUUUGAGAGGAUGAUCAGCCACACUGGAACUGAGACACGGUCCAGACUCCUACGGGAGGCAGCAGUGGGGAAUAUUGGACAAUGGGCGCAAGCCUGAUCCAGCCAUGCCGCGUGUGUGAAGAAGGCCUUCGGGUUGUAAAGCACUUUCAGCGAGGAGGAAGGGUUAGUAGUUAAUAGCUGCUAAUUUUGACGUUACUCGCAGAAGAAGCACCGGCUAACUCUGUGCCAGCAGCCGCGGUAAUACAGAGGGUGCAAGUGUUAAUCGGAAUUACUGGGCGUAAAGCGCACGUAGGCGGUUUUUUAAGUCAGAUGUGAAAGCCCCGGGCUCAACCUGGGAAUUGCAUUUGAAACUGGAAAACUAGAGUGUGUGAGAGGGGGGUANAAUU